Molecule: transfer RNA, 67 nt
Filed under: Isoperla bilineata
Lineage: Eukaryota; Metazoa; Arthropoda; Insecta; Plecoptera; Perlodidae
Description: tRNA-Ile
Source: RNAcentral
GAUGAAGUGCCUGAUUAAAGGGCUACCUUGAUAGGGUAGAUUAUGCAAAUUUAAUUUGCCUUCAUUA